Molecule: ribosomal RNA, 283 nt
Filed under: Coelastrella sp. M-002
Lineage: Eukaryota; Viridiplantae; Chlorophyta; Chlorophyceae; Sphaeropleales; Scenedesmaceae
Description: partial small subunit ribosomal RNA
Rfam family: Eukaryotic small subunit ribosomal RNA
Source: RNAcentral
CGUAUAUUUAAGUUGUUGCAGUUAAAAAGCUCGUAGUUGGAUUUCGGGUGGGUUCUAGCGGUCCGCCUAUGGUGAGUACUGCUAUGGCCUAUCUUUCUGUCGGGGACGGGCUUCUGGGCUUAACUGUCCGGGACUCGGAGUCGACGUGGUUACUUUGAGUAAAUUAGAGUGUUCAAAGCAGGCUUACGCCCUGAAUACUUUAGCAUGGAAUAACACGAUAGGACUCUGGCCUAUCUUGUUGGUCUGUAGGACUGGAGUAAUGAUUAAGAGGGACAGUCGGGGG